UACGUAGGGUGCAAGCGUUAAUCGGAAUUACUGGGCGUAAAGCGUGCGCAGGCGGUGAUGUAAGACAGUUGUGAAAUCCCCGGGCUCAACCUGGGAACUGCAUCUGUGACUGCAUUGCUGGAGUGCGGCAGAGGGGGAUGGAAUUCCGCGUGUAGCAGUGAAAUGCGUAGAUAUGCGGAGGAACACCGAUGGCGAAGGCAAUCCCCUGGGCCUGCACUGACGCUCAUGCACGAAAGCGUGGGGAGCAAACAGGAUUAGAAACCCCCGUAGUCC
Molecule: ribosomal RNA, 273 nt
Filed under: uncultured bacterium
Lineage: Bacteria
Description: partial 16S ribosomal RNA
Rfam family: Bacterial small subunit ribosomal RNA
Source: RNAcentral